AGUGCGGACCUUUCUUCAGCCUCUGUGCGACCGAGCCGCGCGCCAGGCUCCUGUGCGAGGAGGACGCGCUGACUCCCUCCGACCUGGGCUCCGAUGGAGCAGAAAUAGCGGGACCUGGACUUGUGGCGCGCCUGGUGCCACAUCUCGGGCUCUGCGAGCGUCCUGGCGCGGGAUCCUGCCUGUUCCCUUCUUUUCGCCAGGUUUGCAUCCAAGAGAGGGGAGGACAGGGGCAAAAGGAUGCAGGGAGGCUGCUGAUUUCCACUGAAGAGCUAAUUUCCUGUGAGACAUUAACAGUGAUUUAAGAAAAAGAUUCCUGUAACUGUAAUGUCUUACAAUAACAGAAUGCAGGAGAGCACAUAUCAAUGAAGAAAAGACAAAAUGUACUUAUCCAUGAAGCUGAGGUUAAGAAACCAGUGUCUUCAAGAGCCAGGGACAGCACUGGGUCUGUGCAGAGUUGAGAGAUGGUGAUGACAUGUGGUUUCCAGCAUUCCUCACCCAGUCCAGGGACACUGUGGGUGUGCCCAGCUUAAGUCCAGUAACUGGAAAUACAAGCCCAAGUUCUGGAGAGUUUGAGCUGCAGAGAUAUAUAUGGGAACACUUUGAAUCUUGACUCAUUGGCCAUAACCAGCAGAGUGGAAAAUACAAGAAGAGA
This 652-nucleotide long non-coding RNA is filed under the name Homo sapiens (human). Its description in RNAcentral is "non-protein coding MAGI2-AS3:77". The record is from RNAcentral. Lineage: Eukaryota; Metazoa; Chordata; Mammalia; Primates; Hominidae.